Non-coding RNA from Pelobates cultripes (western spadefoot toad), 877 nucleotides. The record is from the annotation of a GenBank genome assembly. NCBI's taxonomy places the organism in Eukaryota, Metazoa, Chordata, Amphibia, Anura, Pelobatidae.
UUGGGACCAGCUACAUGUCUCAGUUUUCUCGGUCUGGAGAUAGAUUCGGUGGCAGGGGAAUGAUACCUACCAGCUGACAAGUUGACCGUGCUUCGGAGGGCGGUUCGUGAAGUGCAGAUGGCACGGAAGAUUACGCUGCGGGCGCUGCAAUCCUUGUUAGGUCACCUGAAUUUUGCUUGUCGGGUCGUACCAGUGGGACGGGUUUUUAGUAGAUUUCUCGCAAUGGCUACUUGUGGGAUCAGUUCUUUUUCCGAAUUACGGCAAUGAUGAGGGUGGAUCUUGAGGUUUAGGAUGUUUUCCUUAGAGAUUUUGUGCAAGUUAUUUUUCACCGGAGCCUAGGUCGGUGGAAGUCUGUAUGGUUCUGGUUGGAUGUUAGGCUGGGCCGUUUGGUUUAAAAGGGUGGUAGGUCCCUUUAAUUUGUAUUUGGUAAUAUGUACUUUUCGUUUGUAGGUUGGGUCGCCAGGUUGGGCCACUCAUACAUCCAUUGGGCGUGCCAGAGAGCCGGAGUUCGGCAACAAGGAAAACAAUUGGGCUCUCCACGGCACCUGGUUCAAUUAUGUUGGUUUGGUUAUAGGGGAUUCAGUUAGAGAGAAGUGUGUGGUGAGAUUUUUAGGAGGUUGGGUUCAGGACAAUCACCUGUUUUGUUAUUAAACUACGCAGGUGGGAAUGAUUUAGGGCAGGUGCCACAGAGGCUGCUGGUACAAAGUAUAAAGCAGGAUGUGGAAAGGUUGCGGUGUCUGGUCCCGGGCAAUAUUAUUAUUUGGUCAGAGAUUGUGCCUAGGUUACAUUGGAGGCUUGCCAGGGAUUGCAACCCAAUGGACUGGAAUCGGGUAUGUCGGACCUGAAAUUGGGUAAGUAAAUAAAGGGUUAUUUCACC